GGGGAAUAUUGGACAAUGGGGGCAACCCUGAUCCAGCAACGCCGCGUGGGGGAUGAAGGUCUUCGGAUUGUAAACCCCUGUUAAGAGGGACGAAGGCUUUCGGGCGAACAGUCCGGAAGCUUGACGGUACCUCUAGAGGAAGCCCCGGCUAACUCUGUGCCAGCAGCCGCGGUAAUACAGAGGGGGCGAGCGUUAUUCGGAAUUAUUGGGCGUAAAGGGCGCGUAGGCGGCUGGGCAAGUCCAAGGUGAAAUCCCUCGGCUCAACCGAGGAACUGCCUUGGAAACGGCCCGGCUUGAGGCCGGGAGAGGGUAGUGGAAUUCCCAGUGUAGCGGUGAAAUGCGUAGAUAUUGGGAGGAACACCGGUGGCGAAGGCGGCUACCUGGACCGGUUCUGACGCUGAUGCGCGAAAGCGUGGGGAGCAAAC
RNAcentral lists this ribosomal RNA (425 nucleotides) under uncultured bacterium. RNAcentral describes it as "bacterial SSU rRNA". It matches the Rfam family "Bacterial small subunit ribosomal RNA", at positions 356 to 773 of the family's 1533-position model. The record is from RNAcentral.